CGCGUAGGCGGACACUUAAGUCAGGGGUGAAAUCCCGGGGCUCAACCUCGGAACUGCCUUUGAUACUGGGUGUCUUGAGUGUGAGAGAGGUGUGUGGAACUCCGAGUGUAGAGGUGAAAUUCGUAGAUAUUCGGAAGAACACCAGUGGCGAAGGCGACACACUGGCUCAUUACUGACGCUGAGGCGCGAAAGCGUGGGGAGCAAAC
RNAcentral lists this ribosomal RNA (206 nucleotides) under uncultured bacterium. RNAcentral's name for it is "partial 16S ribosomal RNA". It matches the Rfam family "Bacterial small subunit ribosomal RNA", at positions 568 to 773 of the family's 1533-position model. The record is from RNAcentral.